GCGAGUCGAGCGUCUCUAGCUAUGUUGAGACGCGGCAUACGGCUCAGUAACGCGUGGCUAACCUACCCUCAGGACGGGGAUAAUCCCGGGAAACUGGGGCUAAUAUCCGAUAGGUGAGAAAGCCUGGAAUGGCUUUUCACUCAAAGGGCAUUGGAUACAUGCAUUCAAUGUUGCCUGGGGAUGGGGCCGCGUCCGAUCAGGUUGUUGGUGGGGUAAUGGCUCACCAAGCCUAUAACCGGUACGGGCCGUGAGAGCGGUAGCCCGGAGAUGGGUACUGAGACAAGGACCCAGGCCCUACGGGGCGCAGCAGUCGCGAAAACUUCGCAAUGCACGAAAGUGUGACGAGGCUACCCCGAGUGCCAUCCGCUGAGGGUGGCUUUUCUUUGGUAUAACUAGCCGGGGGAAUAAGGAGAGGGCAAGACUGGUGUCAGCCGCCGCGGUAAUACCAGCUCUCCGAGUGGUAGGGAUGUUUAUUGGGCUUAAAGCGUCCGUAGCCGGCUUAGCAAGUCUCCUGUUAAAUUCAGCGACCUAAUCGUUGACCCGCGGGAGAUACUACUAAGCUAGGAGGCGGGAGAGGUCGACGGUACUUCCGGGGUAGGGGUGAAAUCCUAUAAUCCCGGGAGGACCACCAGUGGCGAAGGCUGUUGACUAGAACGCGCUCGACGGUGAGGGACGAAAGCUGGGGGAGCGAACCGGAUUAGAUACCCGGGUAGUCCCAGCCGUAAACGAUGCGGGCU
RNAcentral lists this ribosomal RNA (737 nucleotides) under uncultured archaeon. RNAcentral's name for it is "bacterial SSU rRNA". It matches the Rfam family "Archaeal small subunit ribosomal RNA", at positions 53 to 768 of the family's 1478-position model. The record is from RNAcentral.